GAUGAACGCUGGCGGCGUGCCUAAUACAUGCAAGUAGAACGCUGAAGCUUGGUGCUUGCACCGAGCGGGUGAGUUGCGAACGGGUGAGUAACGCGUAGGUAGCCUGCCUCUUAGCGGGGGAUAACUAUUGGAAACGAUAGCUAAUACCGCAUAACAGUCGACAUUGCAUGAUGUUGAUUUGAAAGGUGCAAUUGCAUCACUAAGAGAUGGACCUGCGUUGUAUUAGCUAGUUGGUGAGGUAACGGCUCACCAAGGCAACGAUACAUAGCCGACCUGAGAGGGUGAUCGGCCACACUGGGACUGAGACACGGCCCAGACUCCUACGGGAGGCAGCAGUAGGGAAUCUUCGGCAAUGGGGGCAACCCUGACCGAGCAACGCCGCGUGAGUGAAGAAGGUUUUCGGAUCGUAAAGCUCUGUUGUAAGAGAAGAACGAGUGUGAGAGUGGAAAGUUCACACUGUGACGGUAACUUACCAGAAAGGGACGGCUAACUACGUGCCAGCAGCCGCGGUAAUACGUAGGUCCCGAGCGUUAUCCGGAUUUAUUGGGCGUAAAGCGAGCGCAGGCGGUUAGAUAAGUCUGAAGUUAAAGGCUGUGGCUUAACCAUAGUACGCUUUGGAAACUGUUUAACUUGAGUGCAGAAGGGGAGAGUGGAAUUCCAUGUGUAGCGGUGAAAUGCGUAGAUAUAUGGAGGAACACCGGUGGCGAAAGCGGCUCUCUGGUCUGUAACUGACGCUGAGGCUCGAAAGCGUGGGGAGCAAACAGG
RNAcentral lists this ribosomal RNA (765 nucleotides) under uncultured Streptococcus sp. RNAcentral describes it as "bacterial SSU rRNA". It matches the Rfam family "Bacterial small subunit ribosomal RNA", at positions 28 to 776 of the family's 1533-position model. The record is from RNAcentral. Lineage: Bacteria; Bacillati; Bacillota; Bacilli; Lactobacillales; Streptococcaceae.